CCAGACUCCUACGGGAGGCAGCAGUGGGGAAUAUUGCACAAUGGGGGAAACCCUGAUGCAGCGACGCCGCGUGAGCGAUGAAGUAUUUCGGUAUGUAAAGCUCUAUCAGCAGGGAAGAAAAUGACGGUACCUGACUAAGAAGCCCCGGCUAACAACGUGCCAGCAGCCGCGGUAAUACGUAGGGGGCAAGCGUUAUCCGGAUUUACUGGGUGUAAAGGGAGCGUAGACGGUCCUGCAAGCCAGAUGUGAAAGUCCGGGGCUGAACCGCGGGACUGCAUUUGGAACGGUGAGGCUAGAGUGGUGGAGAGGCGGGGGGAAUUCCUAGGGGAGCGGGGAAAUGCG
This 342-nucleotide ribosomal RNA is filed under the name uncultured bacterium. Its description in RNAcentral is "bacterial SSU rRNA". It matches the Rfam family "Bacterial small subunit ribosomal RNA", at positions 331 to 690 of the family's 1533-position model. The record is from RNAcentral.